GGCGCAGUGGCGUAGUGGGUUUACGCCCUGGCCUGAAGUGCCGGCAACCCAUAUGGACGCUGGUUCUAGUCCUGGCUGCUCCU
This 83-nucleotide transfer RNA is filed under the name Oryctolagus cuniculus (rabbit). It matches the Rfam family "tRNA". Rfam says of the family: Transfer RNA (tRNA) molecules are approximately 80 nucleotides in length. Their secondary structure includes four short double-helical elements and three loops (D, anti-codon, and T loops). The record is from Rfam by way of RNAcentral. Lineage: Eukaryota; Metazoa; Chordata; Mammalia; Lagomorpha; Leporidae.